Molecule: non-coding RNA, 24 nt
Filed under: Arabidopsis thaliana (thale cress)
Lineage: Eukaryota; Viridiplantae; Streptophyta; Magnoliopsida; Brassicales; Brassicaceae
Source: RNAcentral
GGCCUUGUUUGGUAAGCGUGUUGC